This 24-nucleotide non-coding RNA is filed under the name Arabidopsis thaliana (thale cress). The record is from RNAcentral. Lineage: Eukaryota; Viridiplantae; Streptophyta; Magnoliopsida; Brassicales; Brassicaceae.
UUUGCUUAGUGUGUCAUUGUCCUU